Molecule: ribosomal RNA, 343 nt
Filed under: uncultured bacterium
Lineage: Bacteria
Description: bacterial SSU rRNA
Rfam family: Bacterial small subunit ribosomal RNA
Source: RNAcentral
AGGGUUUGAUUCUGGCUCAGGACGAACGCUGGCGGCGUGCCUAACACAUGCAAGUCGAACGGAAAAUUGAGCUUCGGUUCAAUUUUUAGUGGCGAACGGGUGAGUAACGCGUAGGCAACCUGCCCUUUAGACGGGGACAACAUUCCGAAAGGGAUGCUAAUACCGGAUGUGACGCUCCUAUCGCAUGACGGGAGCGUGAAAGAUGGCCUCUACAUGUAAGCUAUCGCUAAAGGAUGGGCCUGCGUCUGAUUAGCUAGUUGGUAGUGUAACGGACAACCAAGGCGAUGAUCAGUAGCCGGUCUGAGAGGAUGAACGGCCACAUUGGGACUGAGACACGGCCCAG